AUACCUUUCUCGGCCUUUUGGCUAAGAUCAAGUGUAGUAUCUGUUCUUAUCAGUUUAAUAUCUGAUACGUGGUUCAAUGAACCACACGAUAUUAAAUUAAUUUUUUUCAGGGGGAAGCUCCAAAAGAUAGCUUGCUAUCAAGGCCCUUCGAGCGUCGCAUCUGUUUUGCACUACUGCAGUAGCCUGGCGCACCCCAC
Molecule: small nuclear RNA, 197 nt
Organism: Cryptomeria japonica (Japanese cedar)
Lineage: Eukaryota; Viridiplantae; Streptophyta; Pinopsida; Cupressales; Cupressaceae
Product: U2 spliceosomal RNA
Exons: 1
Source: RefSeq, a predicted model, not a curated record